Molecule: ribosomal RNA, 446 nt
Filed under: uncultured bacterium
Lineage: Bacteria
Description: partial 16S ribosomal RNA
Rfam family: Bacterial small subunit ribosomal RNA
Source: RNAcentral
CCUACGGGUGGCAGCAGUCGAGAAUCAUUCACAAUGGGGGAAACCCUGAUGGUGCGACGCCGCGUGGGGGAAUGAAGGUCUUCGGAUUGUAAACCCCUGUCAUGUGGGAGCAAAUUAAAAAGAUAGUACCACACGAGGAAGAGACGGCUAACUCUGUGCCAGCAGCCGCGGUAAUACAGAGGUAUCAAGCGUUGUUCGGAAUCACUGGGCGUAAGGCGUUGGUAGGCUGUGUCGUAAGUCGUGUGUGAAAGGUGCGGGCUGAACCCGCGGACGGCACAUGAUACUGCGAGACUAGAGUAAUGGAGGGGGAACCGGAAUUCUCGGUGUAGCAGUGAAAUGCGUAGAUAUCGAGAGGAACACUCGUGGCGAAGGCAGGUUCCUGGACAUUAACUGACGCUGAGGCACGAAGGCCAGGGGAGCGAAAGGGAUUAGAUACCCCAGUAGUC